RNAcentral lists this RNase P RNA (277 nucleotides) under Mnemiopsis leidyi (sea walnut). RNAcentral describes it as "nuclear RNase P". It matches the Rfam family "Nuclear RNase P". From Rfam's summary of the family: Ribonuclease P (RNase P) is a ubiquitous endoribonuclease, found in archaea, bacteria and eukarya as well as chloroplasts and mitochondria. Its best characterised activity is the generation of mature 5'-ends of tRNAs by cleaving the 5'-leader elements of precursor-tRNAs. The record is from RNAcentral. Lineage: Eukaryota; Metazoa; Ctenophora; Tentaculata; Lobata; Bolinopsidae.
GUGGUGAGAAGGCAGCAUACUGAGCUACACACACAAGAUAUACUUCGUGCUCAGGGGAAGGUCUGAGAUUACAAUCAGUCCGUGAGGGACACAGUUAAAACACUGGGGGUCAAACCAGAAACCAUGCUGGCGGCGUCAAGGAGCGUAAGAUGUGUCGUAGUAGUCUAACCUACUUGCCACGGACGUGUUGAUAUGACAUCGCCAUUGAAAGUGAAUCCCGUCAGAUUAUCAGUGUGAUAUGCUACAAACAACUCAAUUCAGACUACUCUCUCACCAC